RNAcentral lists this ribosomal RNA (468 nucleotides) under uncultured bacterium. RNAcentral's name for it is "partial 16S ribosomal RNA". It matches the Rfam family "Bacterial small subunit ribosomal RNA", at positions 28 to 507 of the family's 1533-position model. The record is from RNAcentral.
GACGAACGCUGGCGGCGUGCUUAACACAUGCAAGUCGAACGGAUAGGCCCUGCUUUUGUGGGGUGCUCGAGUGGCGAACGGGUGAGUAACACGUGAGUAACCUGCCCUUGACUUUGGGAUAACUUCAGGAAACUGGGGCUAAUACCGGAUAGGAGCUCCUGCUGCAUGGUGGGGGUUGGAAAGUUUCGGCGGUUGGGGAUGGACUCGCGGCUUAUCAGCUUGUUGGUGGGGUAGUGGCUUACCAAGGCUUUGACGGGUAGCCGGCCUGAGAGGGUGACCGGCCAUAUUGGGACUGAGAUACGGCCCAGACUCCUACGGGAGGCAGCAGUGGGGAAUAUUGCACAAUGGGCGGAAGCCUGAUGCAGCAACGCCGCGUGCGGGAUGACGGCCUUCGGGUUGUAAACCGCUUUCGCCUGUGACGAAGCGUGAGUGACGGUAAUGGGUAAAGAAGCACCGGCUAACUACGUG